Molecule: transfer RNA, 84 nt
Filed under: Puccinia graminis f. sp. tritici
Lineage: Eukaryota; Fungi; Basidiomycota; Pucciniomycetes; Pucciniales; Pucciniaceae
Also listed under: 1 other name
Rfam family: tRNA
About the family: Transfer RNA (tRNA) molecules are approximately 80 nucleotides in length.
Source: Rfam by way of RNAcentral
GUCUCCAUAGCUCAGUGGUUUAGAGCGGCCGCCUGCAGUGAGCUGUACAGCGGCAGGUCACGUGUUCAAAUCACGUUGGGGACU